UACGUAGGUGGCAAGCGUUGUCCGGAUUUACUGGGCGUAAAGAGCGCGCAGGCGGUCGUUCAAGUCGCGUGUGAAAGCCCCCGGCUCAACUGGGGAGGGUCACGCGAUACUGAUCGACUCGAAGGCAGGAGAGGGAAGUGGAAUUCCCGGUGUAGUGGUGAAAUGCGUAGAUAUCGGGAGGAACACCAGUGGCGAAGGCGGCCAACUGGGCCGGACCUGACGCUGAGGCGCGAAGGCGUGGGGAGCGAACGGG
RNAcentral lists this ribosomal RNA (253 nucleotides) under uncultured bacterium. Its description in RNAcentral is "partial 16S ribosomal RNA". It matches the Rfam family "Bacterial small subunit ribosomal RNA", at positions 524 to 776 of the family's 1533-position model. The record is from RNAcentral.